AUGAGUAACAUAACCAUCUCCCUCAUGAACUGGAACAUCCGUGGCCUGAACUCACCGGCCAAGAGGGCAACCAUCUGCGAGUCUGCCAGCGCUCAUAGCCUCGCUCUCCUCUGCCUACAAGCGACCAAGAUCGAUACCUGGACACAAGAUAUCGUCAGAGAGAUCGGCGGUGGCCGCCUAGACAACUGUGAUGUGCUCCCGGCGGUGGGUACUCGCGGCAGGGCAACGAUCUUCUGGGACUCCUCCAAAGUCGUCGUGGCCACGCACUUGGUUGGGCAGUUCUCCAUCACCGCCAGCGUCUCCCAGCUGCACACCAACACCUCUUUCUGGUUAACAACCGUGUACGACCCCGCUGAUGAAGCCAGGAAAGAUGAGUUCCUCGACGAGAUGAUCAGAAUCAGGCCACCCCAAGGUGAACCAUGGCUGAUCAAUGGAGACUUUAACAUCAUCUAUGAGGCAAGAGACAAGAGCAACCACAACCUCAACAGAAGAGUAAUGGGCAGAUUCAGAGACGCUAUUGACAGGGCAAGUCUGAGAGAAAUCAAAUGCCAGAACAGACGCUUCACCUGGAGCAAUGAAAGGGAAAACCCAACCUUUCUUGCAAUCGACAAAGUUUUCAGUAACCAGGAGUGGGAAGCCUUAUUCCCAGCGCUCAUUCUCAUGGCUGCGUUCACUUCUUGCUUGGAUCACUACCAUCUGCUUCUGACAGGCGCCGCGGUGCCACCCCGCAAGGCAUGGCAGAGGCCAGUAAACCACAGUUGCCUUUUUACCAGGAUGAAAAUCAAGCUUAAGAGAACGGCG
Molecule: ribosomal RNA, 801 nt
Filed under: Triticum aestivum (bread wheat)
Lineage: Eukaryota; Viridiplantae; Streptophyta; Magnoliopsida; Poales; Poaceae
Description: partial small subunit ribosomal RNA
Source: RNAcentral